RNAcentral lists this ribosomal RNA (440 nucleotides) under uncultured bacterium. RNAcentral's name for it is "bacterial SSU rRNA". It matches the Rfam family "Bacterial small subunit ribosomal RNA", at positions 28 to 474 of the family's 1533-position model. The record is from RNAcentral.
GAUGAACGCUGGCGGCGUGCUUAACACAUGCAAGUCGAACGGGAUCGGCUGGAGCUUGCUCCGGCCGUGAGAGUGGCGAACGGGUGAGUAAUGCGUGACCGACCUGCCCCAUACACCGGAAUAGCUCCUGGAAACGGGUGGUAAUGCCGGAUGCUCCACCAUGACGCAUGUCGUGUUGGGAAAGAUUCAUCGGUAUGGGAUGGGGUCGCGUCCUAUCAGGUAGUCGGCGGGGUAACGGCCCACCGAGCCUACGACGGGUAGCCGGCCUGAGAGGGCGACCGGCCACAUUGGGACUGAGAUACGGCCCAGACUCCUACGGGAGGCAGCAGUGGGGAAUAUUGCACAAUGGGCGCAAGCCUGAUGCAGCGACGCCGCGUGCGGGAUGACGGCCUUCGGGUUGUAAACCGCUUUUGACUGGGAGCAAGCCCUUCGGGGUGAGU